This 797-nucleotide unclassified non-coding RNA is filed under the name Hevea brasiliensis (rubber tree). Lineage: Eukaryota; Viridiplantae; Streptophyta; Magnoliopsida; Malpighiales; Euphorbiaceae. The record is from RNAcentral.
UCUUGUGUGAAUGAUGGGAAAUCGGCGACAGGAACUAUUUUCAAAGAUCUCGCUGGUGGAUAUUAUGAUGCUGGAGAUGCUAUCAAGUUCCAUUUUCCUGCAUCUUUUGCUAUGACCAUGUUGAGCUGGAGCGUUAUUGAGUACAGUGCUAAGUAUGAAGCUGCUGGGGAGCUCAAUCAUGUCAAAGAUAUUAUUAAGUGGGGAACUGAUUACUUUCUCAAGACUUUCAACCACACUGCGGAUACCAUCACCACCAUUGCUGCACAGGUUGGUUCAGGAGAUACUUCUGGAGGCAAUUCGUCUCCUAAUGAUCAUUAUUGCUGGAUGCGGCCUGAAGACAUUGAUUACCCGCGGCCUGUUACUGAAUGCCAUAGUUGUUCCGAUCUUGCUGCAGAAAUGGCUGCUGCCCUAGCUUCUGCAUCCAUUGUUUUCAAAGAUAACAAGGCCUACUCACAAAAACUCGUUCAGAAACUUGUCCAUGGUGCUAAAACUCUCUAUAAAUUCGCAAGGGAAGAGCGAGGUAGAUAUAGUGCAGGUAGUUCAGAAGCUGCCAUUUUCUAUAAUUCAACUAGCUACUGGGAUGAGUUUAUAUGGGGUGCAACUUGGCUCUACUAUGCUACUGGGAAUUCUUCUUAUCUUCAGCUUGCUACUACUCCUGGUUUGGCCAAGCAUGCUGGUGCUUUCUGGGGAGGGCCAUACUAUGGUGUGCUUAGCUGGGAUAACAAGCUCACUGGUUGUCAGGUGCUUUUGAGUCGUUUGAGACUGUUUUUGAGCCCUGGAUAUCCAUAUGAAGAAAU